UUCUUUAAUGCUUCAUCAAUCUUACCCCGUAUAGGCAGCAUUCUAAAGUAUAAAUUAUUACUCAUUAAAUUAUUAUUGAUGAAGAGACUAAGACUUGGACUUCUUUACGACCGGAAGCUGCCAAAAGUCCGAUUUCCAUUGGGCCAAUAUGCGUGAAUUGAGGAAUUCGGAGAACUUUUCCUUUCUUCAAAUCGUAACCGAUUUUUCCACUAGCUUUGUAUCCUUCACUGGUACAACCGCUGUUGCUCCUGCAGUCGGACAGAAAUAGCAGUUAAUUUUAUAUUAUAAAUAAAUCAUUAUAUAUA
Long non-coding RNA from Monomorium pharaonis (pharaoh ant), 305 nucleotides. RefSeq lists it as uncharacterized. Lineage: Eukaryota; Metazoa; Arthropoda; Insecta; Hymenoptera; Formicidae. The transcript is spliced from 3 exons. The record is from RefSeq and is a predicted model, not a curated record.